GCUCAGGAUGAACGCUAGCGGCGCGCUUAACGCAUGCAAGUCGAGCGAUGAGGCUCCCUUCGGGGAGUACAUCAGCGGCAGACGGGUGAGUAACACGUAGAUAACCUGCCCUCAAGACGGGGACAACCGGUGGAAACAGCGGCUAAUACCCGAUAUGCUCACAGGAUCGGGAGAUCGAGUGAGGAAAGCGCCCCUUCGGGGGAGAGUGUUUGAGGAGGGAUCUGCGGCCCAUCAGCUAGUUGGUGAGGUAACGGCUCACCAAGGCGAAGACGGGUAGGGGGUGUGAGAGCAUGGCCCCCCACAAUGGGACUGAGACACGGCCCAUACUCCUACGGGAGGCAGCAGCGGGGAAUAUUGCGCAAUGGACGGAAGUCAGACGCAGCGACGCCGCGUGGGUGAGGAAGGCCUUCGGGUUGUAAAGCCCUUUUCAGGGGAGCGAGAAAGGACGGUACCCUUGGAAUAAGCGUCGGCUAACUACGUGCCAGCAGCCGCGGUAAGACGUAGGACGCAAGCGUUAUCCGGAUUUACUGGGCGUAAAGCGCCUGUAGGCGGUCAAGUAAGUCGGAUGUGAAAGCCCCGUGCUCAACGCGGGGAAGCCAUUCGAUACUGCGUGACUAGAGAACGGCAGAGGGAAACGGAAUUUCUGGUGUAGCGGUAAAAUGCGCAGAGAUCAGAAAGAACACCGAUGGCGAAGGCAGUUUCCUAGGCCGCAUCUGACGCUGAGAGGCGAAAGCUAGGGGAGCAAACAGGAUUAGAGACCCUGGUAGUCCUAGCUGUAAACGAUGGAUGCUAGGUGUGGGCCGGAAAGGUCCGUGCCGUAGUUAACGCGAUAAGCAUCCCGCCUGGGGAGUACGGCCGCAAGGCUAAAACUCAAACGAAUUGACGGGGACCCGCACAAGCAGCGGAGCGUGUGGUUUAAUUCGAUGCUACACGCAGAACCUUACCUGGGCUUGACAUGUAGGUGGUAGUGAAGUGAAAGCGGAGCGACCAUUCGGGGAGCCUACACAGGUGCUGCAUGGCUGUCGUCAGCUCGUGCCGUGAGGUGUCGGGUUAAGUCCCGUAACGAGCGCAAC
This 1073-nucleotide ribosomal RNA is filed under the name uncultured organism. RNAcentral describes it as "bacterial SSU rRNA". It matches the Rfam family "Bacterial small subunit ribosomal RNA", at positions 22 to 1102 of the family's 1533-position model. The record is from RNAcentral.